Long non-coding RNA from Numida meleagris (helmeted guineafowl), 1238 nucleotides. RefSeq lists it as uncharacterized. Lineage: Eukaryota; Metazoa; Chordata; Aves; Galliformes; Numididae. The record is from RefSeq and is a predicted model, not a curated record. The transcript has 3 exons.
UCCUUAUUGUUUACUCACAGUGUGCAAGCAAGAGAUGAACAGGAGUGCCGCAAGCCAGAGGAAACAUCCUUACACUGAACUCUGCAGAGGGACAGAUACCACCCUGACUUGAGUGGGGCUGGGGAGAGAAGACACAGAAAAGGCAUGGAGGCGGCAACAGAAGUCAACACUGAAGUCAUGACUCUGGCUUUUACAACACCAGAUGCUGCAGCAAGUAUCCUACUAGGGUAGCCUGCAGGGAGGAGGAAGGAGAGGAGGCAGGAUGGGAAGACCGGAGUCUAGUGCCUCCUUCUACCCCCACUAAUUCCACACUUGAGCCUUCUCCUAGCAUGCUUACUGGCAUAUCUUCAACUAAUUUAGAUCCUCCACCACUGCUAAUGAAGAAGUUGCAUGUCAAGGUGCAAGACCAAUCCUCUACUAUGUUUAAAGACCAAACGGAUUCAACCUUGCAUUUCAGAAAAGAUGGUGGAGGGGGGCAAGCAUCACAUCUACCCGAAUACUCUUUACGUUGCAGCUUGGGGAUAGUCAUGGAGAUUCAUGUAUUACCUUUGUAAUUAUCUCCUCCUCUUCCACCUUCCCCUGAUGCUUUAACUCUGGCUGGAAGCAUACUAAAGAAUCUGUUAUCUUGACUUUGAAAGCAGCUGUAGCUUUUUCAUCUCUCCCAGCGACAACAAGGGACUUCUGCAGGAGCAGGCCAGCCUUCUCAGGCUGAAAAGCAGAAGUGACAAAUGAACCAUCCUGCACCAAGAAAGCCUGAUCUCCGAAUAUUUCAUAGAGAAAUCUCUUCAGCUCUGACACGUGAAAGGAAUGGCAUUGCUACUUUUAAAAAGAGAACUGAUCCCUCUAGGCAGCCCAUAUCUAAUGACUAUGAAGAAAAGCACUGUUGUUUGUCCUUCAAGCUAGCCUGAAAUUAUACAACUUUUUGCGUUAGAAACAUGAUUUUUUCAGCAAUGUAUUUUAAAUUCCUACAUACUGAGAACUUUUAAUCACUAAGGAAUCACCCUCAAUUUUUAUGUGUUUAAUAGGGCUUUUAUUAACACAGGAAUGUGGCUGAAUAUAAACCAGGAAGCUUUUAAGAUCAAUGCAAUCUCUUGCAAAAUUGUCUACGAGCUAGAUUCCAUCUUCAUUUAAAAUAUACUGGGGAAAUGACAGGAACUACACUUGAUUUAUACAUGAUGUAACAAUGAGAGUAUUUGUAGCAAGAGACUUUUGAAAAUAAAAAAAUUUACUUAACUUUA